GGUAGAUAGGAAGAAAAUUCUAAGGCCAACGGGAGAAGGGUAGUUAAGGAACUCGGCAAGUUGACCCCGUAACUUAGGGAUAAGGGGUGCUCUCGAAAGAGAGCCGCAGAGAAUAGGCCCAGGCGACUGUUUAGCAAAAACACAGCUCUAUGCUAAAUCGAAAGAUGAUGUAUAUGGGGUGACACCUGCCCGGUGCCGGAAGGUUAAGAGGAGGAGUGAGAGCUCUGAAUUGAAGCCCCGGUAAACGGCGGCCGUAACAAUAACGGUCCUAAGGUAGCGAAAUUCCUUGUCAGGUAAGUUCUGACCCGCACGAAUGGUGUAACGAUCUGGGCACUGUCUCAACUACCCGCCCGGCGAAAUUGUAGUACCGGUGAAGAUGCCGGUUACCCGCGACUAGACGGAAAGACCCCAUGGAGCUUUACUGUAGCUUAAUGUUGAAUUUCGGUAUUUCAUGUACAGGAUAGGUGGGAGACUAAGAAGCAGGGGCGUCAGCUUCUGUGGAGUCAACCUUGGGAUACCACUCUUGAAGUGCUGGAAUUCUAACCUGCGGCCGUGAAUCCGGUCGGGGGACAUCGUUAGGUGGGCAGUUUGACUGGGGCGGUCGCCUCCCAAAGAGUAACGGAGGCGCUCAAAGGUUCGCUCAGCAUGGACGGAAACCAUGCUCUUGAGUGUAAACGCAAAAGCGAGCCUAACUGCGAGACUGACGGGUCGAGCAGUAACGAAAGUUGGAGUUAGUGAUCCGGCGGUAUGUGAGUGGAAAUGCCGUCGCUCAACGGAUAAGAGCUACCCGGGGGAUAACAGGCUGAUCUCCCCCAAGAGUCCACAUCGACGGGGAGGUUUGGCACCUCGAUGUCGGCUCAUCGCAUCCUGGGGCUGUAUUCGGUCCCAAGGGUUUGGCUGUUCGCCAAUUAAAGCGGUACGCGAGCUGGGUUCAGAACGUCGUGAGACAGUUCGGUCCCUAUCUGUCGUGGGCGUAGGAUAUUUGAAAGGAGCUGUCCCUAGUACGAGAGGACCGGGAUGGACGCACCUCUAGUGCACCAGUUGUCACGCCAGUGGCACAGCUGGGCAGCUAAGUGCGGAUCGGAUAAACGCUGAAGGCAUCUAAGCGUGAAGCCGUCCUUAAGAUAAGAUAUCCCAUCAGGUCAACUGAGUAAGACCCCUCAAAGACUAUGAGGUUGAUAGGCCUAAGGUGUACGCAUGGUGACAUGUUCAGCCUGCAGAUACUAAUCGGUCGAGGGCUUGACC
Molecule: ribosomal RNA, 1245 nt
Filed under: metagenome
Description: bacterial LSU rRNA
Rfam family: Bacterial large subunit ribosomal RNA
Source: RNAcentral